RNAcentral lists this ribosomal RNA (429 nucleotides) under Fusobacteriota bacterium. RNAcentral's name for it is "Fusobacteria bacterium partial 16S ribosomal RNA". It matches the Rfam family "Bacterial small subunit ribosomal RNA", at positions 355 to 776 of the family's 1533-position model. The record is from RNAcentral. Lineage: Bacteria; Fusobacteriati; Fusobacteriota.
UGGGGAAUAUUGCGCAAUGGGCGAAAGCCUGACGCAGCGACGCCGCGUGAGGGAUGAAGGUUUUCGGAUCGUGAACCUCUGUCAGAAGGGAAGAAACCGCACUGUGCUAAUCAGCAGUGCCUUGACGGUACCUUCAAAGGAAGCACCGGCUAACUCCGUGCCAGCAGCCGCGGUAAUACGGAGGGUGCAAGCGUUAAUCGGAAUUACUGGGCGUAAAGCGCACGUAGGCUGCUUUGUAAGUCAGGGGUGAAAUCCCACGGCUCAACCGUGGAACUGCCUUUGAUACUGCUUAGCUUGAAUCCGGGAGAGGGUGGCGGAAUUCCAGGUGUAGGAGUGAAAUCCGUAGAUAUCUGGAGGAACAUCAGUGGCGAAGGCGGCCACCUGGACCGGUAUUGACGCUGAGGUGCGAAAGCGUGGGGAGCAAACAGG